Molecule: ribosomal RNA, 428 nt
Filed under: uncultured bacterium
Lineage: Bacteria
Description: partial 16S ribosomal RNA
Rfam family: Bacterial small subunit ribosomal RNA
Source: RNAcentral
GUAGGGAAUAUUGCGCAAUGGACGAAAGUCUGACGCAGCGACGCCGCGUGAGUGAUGAAGGCCUUAGGGUCGUAAAGCUCUGUUGAAUGGGAAGAAAAAAAUGACGGUACCAUUCGAGGAAGGACCGGCUAACUUCGUGCCAGCAGCCGCGGUAAUACGAGGGGUCCUAGCGUUGUUCGGAAUCAUUGGGCGUAAAGGGUGUGUAGGUGGCCAUGUAAGUCAGGUGUGAAAGCCCCGGGCUCAACCCGGGAAGUGCACUUGAUACUGCGUGACUUGAGUACCGAAGAGGGUAGUGGAAUUCCAGGUGUAGUGGUGAAAUACGUAGAUAUCUGGAGGAACACCGGUGGCGAAGGCGGCUACCUGGUCGAGUACUGACACUGAGACACGAAAGCAUGGGGAUCAAACAGGAUUAGAAACCCCAGUAGUCC